UUAUUUGGCAUGAGGAUGGGGGAUGAGAACCCGGGUUCGACUCGGAGCCCACGGAGUGGGCGGAGAGAGCGCCCGCGGCGCGGGCGACCCGAAGGGCGAGGGCGCAGCCCGAGUAAUCCCUCCCUCACCGCCA
RNAcentral lists this small RNA (133 nucleotides) under Porticoccaceae bacterium. RNAcentral describes it as "RtT sRNA". It matches the Rfam family "RtT RNA". From Rfam's summary of the family: This family represents a bacterial cis-regulatory element known as RtT RNA. The exact function of RtT is unknown although it is thought that it may be involved in changing the cellular response in relation to amino acid starvation. Lineage: Bacteria; Pseudomonadati; Pseudomonadota; Gammaproteobacteria; Cellvibrionales; Porticoccaceae. The record is from RNAcentral.